RNAcentral lists this non-coding RNA (607 nucleotides) under Drosophila simulans. RNAcentral's name for it is "Eukaryotic large subunit ribosomal RNA". It matches the Rfam family "Eukaryotic large subunit ribosomal RNA", at positions 2839 to 3401 of the family's 3401-position model. The record is from Rfam by way of RNAcentral. Lineage: Eukaryota; Metazoa; Arthropoda; Insecta; Diptera; Drosophilidae.
GGGGCCCAGGGUUCAUAGGGAGGUUGGUUUUUUAAUCCUUUGGUUUUGGUUUUUCUAUCAUUGGGAAGCAAAAUUCACCAAGCGUUGGAUUGUUCACCAUGCAAAGGAAACGUGAGUUGGGUUUAGACCGUCGUGAGACAGGUUAGUUUUACCCUACUAAUGACAAAACGUUGUUGCGACAGCAUUCCUGCGUAGUACGAGAGGAACCGCAGGUACGGACCAAUGGCACAAUACUUGUUCGAGCGAACAGUGGUAUGACGCUACGUCCGUUGGAUUAUGCCUGAACGCCUCUAAGGUCGUAUCCGUGCUGGACUGCAAUGAUAAAUAAGGGGCAAUUUGCAUUGUAUGGCUUCUAAACCAUUUAAAGUUUAUAAUUUAUUUUAUAAACGACAAUGGAUGUGAUGCCAAUGUAAUUUGUAACAUAGUAAAUUAGGAGGAUCUUCGAUCACCUGAUGCCGCGCUAGUUACAUAUAAAAGCAUUAUUUAAUACAAUGACAAAGCCUAGAAUCAAUUGUAAACGACUUUUGUAACAGGCAAGGUGUUGUAAGUGGUUGAGCAGCUGCCAUACUGCGAUCCACUGAAGCUUAUCCUUUGCUUGAUGAUUCGA